AGUGAACGCUGGCGGUAGGCCUAACACAUGCAAGUCGAACGGCAGCACAGUAAGAGCUUGCUCUUACGGGUGGCGAGUGGCGGACGGGUGAGGAAUACAUCGGAAUCUACUUUUUCGUGGGGGAUAACGUAGGGAAACUUACGCUAAUACCGCAUACGACCUACGGGUGAAAGCAGGGGAUCUUCGGACCUUGCGCGAUUGAAUGAGCCGAUGUCGGAUUAGCUAGUUGGCGGGGUAAAGGCCCACCAAGGCGACGAUCCGUAGCUGGUCUGAGAGGAUGAUCAGCCACACUGGAACGGAGACACGGUCCAGACUCCUACGAGAGGCAGCAGUGGGGAAUAUUGGACAAAGGGCGCAAGCCUGAUCCAGCCAUACCGCGUGGGUGAAGAAGGCCUUCGGGUUGUAAAGCCCUUUUGUUGGGAAAGAAAAGCAGCAGGUUAAUACCCCGCUGUUCUGACGGUACCCAAAGAAUAAGCACCGGCUAACUUCGUG
Molecule: ribosomal RNA, 492 nt
Filed under: uncultured bacterium
Lineage: Bacteria
Description: partial 16S ribosomal RNA
Rfam family: Bacterial small subunit ribosomal RNA
Source: RNAcentral